This is an RNA transcript of Hydractinia symbiolongicarpus, 5844 nucleotides long. It is a transcript of the gene named solute carrier family 49 member 4 homolog, with no coding region annotated. The transcript has 4 exons. The record is from RefSeq and is a predicted model, not a curated record. Lineage: Eukaryota; Metazoa; Cnidaria; Hydrozoa; Anthoathecata; Hydractiniidae.
UAAAGCCGACCGUACUGCACUUCAACUGUAUAUUUUGUGGUGAUAAGCAGAAGAUUCAUUAGAGCGCAGUUUAUUUCCUCAGGCGGUUGUUCUACAAAAACAUUUUAAGUCUUCGUACUUCUGAAGUUUUCGCGAUGUCUUAAUUUGUUAAACUCAUCUGGAGCGUGACCCUUUAACGACAGAUCAAAUAUCGUUGAAAUACAACCUCUGAGUUUUCAAAAACGUCAAAUUUUCUGUUGCGUACGCAACUCUCUAAAUUGACGUAAUAUAAACGCACGCGUCAUCAAGUUAAUUUGACGUCAUUGACCUAGACAUAUACUUCACCUAUGAAGCAUCAGUUGGAUUCAAGAUUGAUCAUGUUUCGAUACUCGAUGUUCAGAAGUCUUCGUAAAUCUUCAAAACAAAAAGAAGAAAAGGAAAGUGAACAAAUCAUUCAGCAACCAGUUAUCGGGUCCAUCUCCGAUCGUUCGCUUUUAUCGCAAAGAGGUUAUGUUCUGUCUGAUCAAACACUUGGCGAGGGAAGCUACUCGAAGGUUAAACGCGCUUACUCGAAAUAUCAAAACUGUGAUGUUGCUGUUAAAAUUAUCAAUAGACAAAUAGCUCCACAGGAUUUCCUUGAACGUUUUUUACCUCGAGAGCUUGAAAUAAUCGGCCAUCUAAACCACGAGAACAUUUGCAAAUUCUUUGAAGUUUGUGACACUGGGCGGCGAGUGUAUGUGUUUAUGCAAUACGCUUGUGAGGGCGAUUUAUUGGAAUAUAUUCAACGAAAUAGUUUUGUUAAAGAAAGUAUGGCAAAAGAAAUGUUUCGACAGAUUGUAGAAGCAUUAGAUUACCUGCACGUACAUAACAUUUUGCAUCGAGAUUUGAAAUGUGAGAAUAUACUCCUUGAAAAAGGCUUUAAACCUCUGCUUACAGACUUCGGGUUUGCGAAAUAUACAGCUGAUAUUACCGACCUAAACAAAACGUACUGUGGUAGUUCUGCAUACGCUCCUAUUGAAAUACUUAAAGGUACCCCUUACGAUGGACGCAGUGCUGAAGUGUGGAGUCUUGGGUGUAUACUCUAUACCAUGACCACCGGUACCAUGCCAUUUAAUGACAGCAACAAAAGUGAACACAUCAGACAAAUGAAGAGAGGACCAGUGUUUGGUAGAUCACGUCAAAAGAUAACAGUCUCUCUUCAAAUUUUAAUAUCAAAUGUGCUUCAGUUGAAAGCAACAGCACGACCUACGUUGAAAGAAAUACUUCAAAGUGAAUGGUGCGCGACAAGCAUAGAUGGCUUUGAAGUUAAUUCUUAAUGUUUAUUUUCCUUAAAAACAUUUUUAAUAAACUCUAAAAAUAUGUGUUAAUAAAUCAAUAAAAUUUCAUAUUUUCUUUUUAUCGACUUUUUUUGUAAAUUAAUUACCUUCCUAUUGGUUGCGUAGAUCAGGUAACAAAAAAACUGUUACACGAAAUAUGUCAGAAGAAAUACAGAGGAAAAUCUGAGGACCGGCAAACUCGUCCGUCCCCGGGGGUUGUCAAAAAGAACCCCUGAGGACGAGGUUGUUAAAACCGUGUAACUGUAUAUUAUAUUGUCAAUCACGUGAAACAACAUAAAUGGCGGCUGUGAAAAGUUGUUACUUUUGAUUUGUUUUGUUGUCUUCGUUCAGUUGCUCUAAUUUCCAGGUUGUAUUUUCUAGAAGUUCCCAGUAGGUUUCUUGAGAUCCAACCCAAAAAUUUAUAGUGGAUCUCGCAGAGAAUACAGGGCAUCAGGGGUGCUUAUUAUUGUGUUGUGUAGGACAAAUAACUCUAAUGAUUUAUCUUGUGGUAUAGCUAUCUAUAGCUAGCUAAGAUAGACCUUAAAGUGUUAGUGUUAAGCAUGUCUGUGAAAAAAGUUUUUAAUAACAAAAAAAGAACAGGCAUUUUCAUGCAAGUUUAGUGCCUUAAAAAAAGUGAAAGCUUCUCCCAUGACAAAAGAAGUUUAUCUAAACCAACUCAAUUUAAUGCAUAACUUUCUCAGAUAAAUAGCAUGGUUGUUUAGUGGUUAUUACUCUCGCACUUUGUGCUGGAGACCCUUGGUGGCAAUUCAAUAUGAUCCAGUGAAUGUUACCAUAGCCCUGGAUUAACCCAAGCCAUGUGAGGGAAAUUGGGGAGACGACACACUUUGUGGGCCGUUGGAUGUUGCAGGGAGUUUUCUGGUGGAGCGCGGACCCUAAUAGAGUUUGAGAAGCUCAAAGAGAGCAUUAAAUAUCCAGGACUCCCCAUCUAUGCCAUGGGCCCCUCCUGGAAAUAAUUAAGGCUAGCCAUGUAAAAUAUGCACAUCUAUCUACAACAUAGAUUUAUUCCACUGUUCCUGCAGUGGUGGCUAGUUUGUAUUGGCGAAAGUAGGUCAACAAUUUUUGACGCGUUCUGAAUUCCGUCUAAUUGUAUCUCCUUCGCAAAGUCUUUCGGAAGGACCCUCCCUCUCCUGGUCUUUUUUAUAAAGAAAAUAAUUGCAUUUUUUUCCUCGCCAAGGGUGAUAUGAAACUCAAACUUUUUGUCCGGUAUCGAUGACUUUUUUCCAUCAUGGCUUUUUUUUAAAUAUUUUUAAACUUUUGGCGAAGUAUUUACAAUACAGAAGCUUACAUAAUUUAUUUCAAAACACCACAACAAUAAAAUUUACAAACUAUUUAACACACCUCACAUUUCCAUUUCUCAUGUUCAUUAUUUAACGCAAAUACUUUUUAAGGGAUUUUUGCACAACUAUGAUGAUACCAUUUAUUGCAACCUGAGCACAUUGCCAUAAAAAGUCCUUUGUCUUUCUUAACAUCAUCUUCAAAAAAGAUGUCUCUGCAUAUACAAUGUAAGUCGUACGCUUUUGCAUAAAACAACAAAAACUCUUGAUAACUUUUGGAAAUGGACUAAAUUGACCAACUUCCAGGCAAUGUAACAAGUGAGCUCUCAUUUGUUGUGUAUCAAAUGACACAGAUUGUGGACUGUUUCCAAGAAAUUCUUCAACAGAAAAUGCUAUUGCAAACUGACCACAAUCAAUGUCAUUCUCUUGUUGCUGAACUGUUAUAUUUGACACUUUAAUACUUGCUUCGUGACAGUGCGCUGUACAAGCUAUUUUUCUAAAGAUUCUCUAUCUUGAUCUCUAUUGUAUUGGCUUAGAGAAUCAUAAACGUAUACUUCGUCAUGAGCUUUUCUGGUGACAGUUAUCCAGUGUCGACGUUGCUCUACGUACAGUAUUUGAAUAAACUUAUUUCGCCAGCGUGAAUAGCAGGAGAAGUUUAAACCAGUGUCUUCAAAACCAUCCACGCCACUCUGCUGCUUCAUGAUGACUUGAGCCAAAUUAAUAGUGGCGUGUGUCAAUUGGCUACCCUUCAGAAUUUCAUUCUCUUAAUUUCCGACAACCAUGUGCCUAAAAAAAUAUUAUGAAAUAACCUAAUAGACUAGAAAACUAUGAUAGAAAAAUUGUAUACAAGAAUAAGAAAUCCUUCUCACCUUCAAACCAUCUUUUCAACUUUCCAUUGUACAUUUCCCACUUUUUUAAAUCAGCUAUUGCGUCGUUCAUUUCAUUCAAGGAAACUAAAUGUGCAAUUCGUCUUAUCCAUGCUUUAAAAUCUCCAGCCACAUUAUCAACACCGUUUUCAGAUUUGUUGGUCCAUCUAAUAAAAAAAUUAAAAAUUAAAAGCAAUAUAAAAAAUGUAAUCAGUGCAAGGUUACAAAAGCGUAAAAUAUAAGACUGACUGUGUCCAUGCCUGUUCUUGAUGAAAGUCACACAAAAAAACUUUUAUAUUAGGGAAAACGUCCUCCAAACUCAAAAUUUCUAAGGUGUUGUAGUCAACUAUCGCAUACUUAGGUGUUAUAUCUGGAUUCCAUUCUAGAUUAAAUUAACAGUUACUUCAGAAAUACGCAAAAAUAGCAAAUAAAAUAAUAUAAACAAUGAUAAUAAUAACACACCUUUAAUUUUUGUUAACGCUUUUGUCACCAUCAUUUUCGACUCAUCUUGUGGAAUCAUAACACCAACAACCUACGUUUAAAUAAAAAUUGUAAGUUUAAAAUUUACACUCUGAAAGGCAAUGUUUUUAGCUGAUAAACACCCGCCAUGUAAUUUACGUUAGUCUUUACGACAAGAAAGUACAGUGGUAAAGCAUAUUUAGUCGUUCGGUAGGUUGCAUCUAACAAUACUAGUUGCAAUGUGUAUCUUCUGUAUAGUCGUUGCAUUACUUUAGAUUGAUACACAAACAGGAAUUUCCCAUCUGUUACCGUAGCGUUGUAUAUUUUUUUCUCCUUUUCAAAUAUUUCUUCUUCAAUAUUUAAAAUAUUGUGAUCCUCCAAAUCAUCGUCGCUUUCAUUUUUUAGGAUGAAAUCUGUUUUUCCAUACUUAAAAUAUACAAAAAUCAAGUAUUUAUAAGCAAAUGGGCGUAAACUAAUAUCGAAUUUUAAGCAUAAAACUCACCGAGCACUAAAGUAAAAUGAUAAUAAAUAAUACAAAUGUGUGAUUAUGUAAGAGAUAUAUAGUGUUAAUUAAUAGUCAGUAAAGGAAAUUCACAAUUAUGGACGCAAAAGCAUACCUGUUGGGAAUGUUGUCACAUACUCAAGAUAACAAAAACUCUCUAACACAGAUUUUGAGUGUUUAGCUUGAUAAUUUUCCAAAGCGCUCUUUAAUUUCUUAGAGGCUACUGUCCUGUUCCAUUUAGUAUCAUUCUUAUUUUUGUAUUCUGGGAAUAAAAACAACUUUUUCACGUUGAACGUAACAUGAUAAUUCAGUUUUUUCGUGUGUUGUGCUAAUUUCCUUGUUUUCACUCAUUCUGGAUGGUCACCGCAGAGUUUUUUUCACGGUUCUUUUUGUAAUCUGCUUUUAAAGACACACCUUUGACUUUUCCCUGAUGGCAUUGAUACUUCUUUGUACCGAGCCACACGUAAGGGAUGCCAUUAAAAAUAUAGGGAGACUGUCUUCUUUGUUGAGUUGAUUGCCAACAUAUUGAUGGGAUUUGAGAGUGCGAUUGCAAUACAUUGUGUAGCGACUCUAAAUAUGUAAUGCAUACAUAGGUUUAGAGUUAGAAUAUAAAUAAUUUUUUUAAAAAUGUCGCGCGCACAUCAUUGUGAAUUUAGCGCGGCAGAUAACAUUUAAAAGAAAACGUUUUAUUGAACAAUAGAGCACCUAUUUGCACUUGCUCAUACAGAAAACGAGUUGAUUAAAAGUGUUAGAACUUACGAUCAUAAUUGAAUUCUUUCGUCUCUGAUAAAAUAGUAAUUUGACUCGCGCACCAAAGAUGCAUUACGUCAUACACGACAUCACUUAGUCGAAUAAAUAUUUCAACAACCUAAUUUUACUGAUACAAACUAGCCACUACCUGUUCCUGCACAUAAUUUUGAAAAAAUCAUAAUGACAGAUAUAUAUAUAAUACCACAAACAAACAGUUUGUUGGAAUAUGCAAGAAGUUGUAUUUGAUUGCUCAAAGAUAUAUGGUUAACUCUGUUUUCUUCCAAUGUUUCACCGUUUCUUUAAUUUCUACACCAAAAUGUAAUUUACCAGCCUUGCUUCUAUUAAGUUUUAUUUUCCAGAUGAGUUUCAAAAAAGAAAAAAAGCCAUUGUUAACACGUGAAAUUAGGGAUGAUUAUAUGGGGAGUUCGACUGCUUCUUUAUCGUCAUAUGAUUAUGAAACUUAUGUCAAACCUUAUGCUCAUACUGAGACUGGUACAUAUUGGUACCGUUGGUAUAUACUUGCCUUAUUCUCAUUGGUGGCAAGCAUGUGUAAUAUAGCGUGGAAUUCUUGGGGUCCAAUCGAGACAACAUCCCGUGCUGUGUUUGGUUGGAGUAAAGGAACAAUCUCAUUGUUGUCUGACUGGGGAGCCAUAACAUUUGUGUUGGCGGUGUUUCCA